CGCAAAGUCAUUUCGUUCUCUUUGGCAGGUAGCUCUCGUGUGACAAAGUCGAACACCUCCUUCCAGUCACGGACAUUCUUGGUGUGCUCGGUGUCGUAGUAGCCAAGGGGAUUAACUUCAUCCCGGCGGAUGAGGCGUUUCUCAUCGGUCGGCAGGGCAAAGAAGCGUUUGGCGGCAGAGUGGACGUGGUCGAGGAGGUGGGAGGGUACACCGUGGUUGAUGACUUGAAAGAAGCCCCAGUCCCUGCAGGCGGCUUCGACUUCGG
RNAcentral lists this unclassified non-coding RNA (265 nucleotides) under Hevea brasiliensis (rubber tree). The record is from RNAcentral. Lineage: Eukaryota; Viridiplantae; Streptophyta; Magnoliopsida; Malpighiales; Euphorbiaceae.